Molecule: long non-coding RNA, 847 nt
Organism: Cottoperca gobio
Lineage: Eukaryota; Metazoa; Chordata; Actinopteri; Perciformes; Bovichtidae
Exons: 4
Source: RefSeq, a predicted model, not a curated record
GCGCCCGAAAAAUACCGGAAGUGCAAAAUGACGCAUGUAUGUAGGCUACUUAAAGAAAAUCCUGUUUUUAGUUUGUGUAAUUGUUGAUUUGAUCACAAACGCUUGUGUAAAAACUUGCCACGCUUGCCAUCGGAGCUGCUUAUCCCUGAAUUAGACACCUACUGUGCCAGGAAGCUACCACAGAAGCGAUUUGAGUACUUUGCCAGGUGCUUAUAUGCCUGUCUGUGGAUGUAUUUUUCGUCAACGUGAUGUAACCAACUGUUACAUAUGUUCAACUCUGUAUAACCCAUGGCUGCAUAAUCCAGGCAGAUCGCAGAGUCUGUCCUCGGCUGUCUCUCCAUUGGCACUGUCACUCCCUCAUUCAGCCGUUCGUCAUCCUGUUGCUGCUCCUCAUCAAUCCCACACUGCCACAAUGGUCUGUGACAGCAGCACUGACAGGCCCAUGACAGGCCUGCCACCCGGACGGCCUGUCCCAGCCAGCCAGCCUACAAUACGGGAGAAGACAAACAGACCUGAACAUGCACAACUCAUUCCUCCUCCCCCCCCCAAACCUUGUUGGCGCCUGGCUGUGUGGCCCAACUCUCUCAAACUCUCCCAACAACACUGUACAAACGCUACAGCGGGGCUUUAGCUACGGCAAUGUCGCUCUGUUGGCCGGUCCACAACUGUGGUCCGGACUGAAACAUCUGUUGGAUGGACUGCCAUGACAUCAGUGUUCAGAUAUUCAUGGUCCCCAGAGGAUGACACCUCCUAACUCCCCUGACUUUCCCUCUAGCGCCACCAUGAGGUUGAUAUUUAUUUGUGGUUUUGAAUAAAAAAGCUCAACUUUUGGAUGGAUUGCCAUGAA